This 483-nucleotide ribosomal RNA is filed under the name Aspilota sp. RAW-2006. RNAcentral's name for it is "eukaryotic LSU rRNA". The record is from RNAcentral. Lineage: Eukaryota; Metazoa; Arthropoda; Insecta; Hymenoptera; Braconidae.
CAAGAGUACGUGAAACCGUUCAGGGGUAAACCUGAGAAACCCAAAAGAUCGAAUGGGGAGAUUCAUCGUCAGCUCAUUUUGUAUAUAUAUNAGUUAUGAUAUGGGUUACUACUUGUAGUAUUGCCUGUACAUUCUUGUAUAUUUAAUUGCAGAUUGUUGUCGGCGUGCACUUCUCCCCUAGUAGGACGUCGCGACCCGUUGAGUGUCGGUCUACGGCCCAAGUGGUAGCCUUUAAUUUUCUGAAUUAAAGACCCUUGGUGUUUCCUGGCUGGCUACUCGGCGGUAUUCGUACGGUAUUAAGCCGCAUUUAUGCGUUCAUAUCCGUCGCAAGCGCGGUCAAUUUUUAGUAGUACGGACCUAGUGCCGUCGCUAUAAUUGAUCAGCUGUUGGUUGUACGGUGUUCUAGAACUGGCUUUUAUACCGGUCAGCGAUGCUUCAGCUUUGGGUACUUUCAGGACCCGUCUUGAAACACGGACCAAGUCU